Molecule: long non-coding RNA, 558 nt
Organism: Paramormyrops kingsleyae
Lineage: Eukaryota; Metazoa; Chordata; Actinopteri; Osteoglossiformes; Mormyridae
Source: RefSeq, a predicted model, not a curated record
GAAGUUCUGGGGGCUAUUUUCAGCGGGGUGUCAGUGGUCUGUGACAAAUGGGAGCCAGUUUAGUGGAGGUGCUGAAUGAAUUCCUGGAGAAUUGGUGUGUGUGUUGGGGGGGGGGGGAUCUGUGACAAGAUUUAUGAGGCUCUGAUGGUCUGGGGUAGCCUGCGACAGUAGGGAGAUCUCACCUACCCCCCCUGGAAUUUCCGCUAACAUUUUGGGGAUUAAAUCAUAGAAGUACAUAGCAGCCUUGACAAGAACUGCAGAUGGAGUCUGGAUGGAAUGAAGUAAAAACAGCGAGCAGGUUUUUGAUGAGUUGGGUCAGAAAAAUGCCAAACAGCAGCAAGCGGAGACUCGUUCGGGACGCCGUUGGGCAGCUCCGCCUCCUAGGUUUCUAGGACUGACAGCCAUUUUCCUUCUCCUUUGGCUACCAAACAAGGAUACAUUCAAUGUCAGAAUACCAACAUGUGGCCAGUAUGUACUCUUAGUUCCACAGAAGCUGGGAAUUCAGCAAGCUGCAAGUGAAAAAUGCACAAAUAAAAAUAUAACUUUGGUUUGUUGGAA